RNAcentral lists this microRNA (22 nucleotides) under Dasypus novemcinctus (nine-banded armadillo). RNAcentral's name for it is "dno-miR-424-3p". Its record names the gene dno-miR-424-3p. RNAcentral also lists the same sequence under 10 other names. The record is from miRBase by way of RNAcentral. Lineage: Eukaryota; Metazoa; Chordata; Mammalia; Cingulata; Dasypodidae.
CAAAACGUGAGGCGCUGCUAUA